UUUAGGUGGCCAUGGCGGCGGGGCCCACCCCUUUCCAUUCCGAACAGGGAAGUUAAGCCCGCUAGCGCCGAUGGUACUGCCAAUAGGUGGGAGAGUAGGAAGCCGCCUUACUUC
This 114-nucleotide ribosomal RNA is filed under the name Zobellia galactanivorans. Lineage: Bacteria; Pseudomonadati; Bacteroidota; Flavobacteriia; Flavobacteriales; Flavobacteriaceae. The record is from RNAcentral.